GGUAGCAGCAAGCAACAAGUCCCAGAGGAUAGUGUCUCUGACUAAUCUGUAUCAUGCUGCCAAUAACUGUUUUCCAUCCGAGCUUAGACUUCACACUGGUACACGAUCACACCUGAUACACCCUGUACUGACACAGUGGCUGGAGGUAAGAGCUGGCAGUGAAUAACUUUGCUGUUGUCAGAGCCUGUCUGAGCUUUGAAAAGACCGCUUUCCAUUUUCUUACUUCUUUCUACUUUGUUCUCUCUUGCCUUUUUUUAUUUUUUCCCGAGGUUGUGUUAGAUCUGUGAAUAGCAAUGAGAAACAGCCAUGGUGCAUCUCUCUGGAUCAGGAACUGUAGUGCUUUGAAAUUUAAUUACUUCGCAUUUAAAUGAGUGGGUAUCUGACGUGGCUUGCGCUAAGAGCAUUCCUGUUACAGAGCUCGUCCUCAGGCUGCUGAGCACGGAUUCUCUGGGGGGCUCUGACUGUCCCUGUCUCCAGGACAGACACCAGGGUGAGGGGACAGGGUCACAGCUUCUCUACAUCAAGAACGACGGCACUGUGCGAAGUUCUCCCACACUGUACUUCGACAGCAGCUGAUUUCUCUGUGUUACUCAUUAGGCAUAAAAAAAAGUAAGGUCUUGUCAUAAAAUAAUUACAUACAGAUUUCACUUGCAUGGGAUAAUGUACAGAUGAGUCUGCAGUCUCACAGGUUGAGUGGUAGAUAAGUGAGAGAUCAAUGCUUUUUGGUCUAUAUUGUCUGUGGGGAGAGACUUUAGUCAGCAUACGCUUCCUUGAUGUGCCUCAGCAGCACGUCGAACCCAUGCUACAAGUAAGCCGAAGAGCCCAUGAAACUCAUUGCCAAACCGAUGCAUCCAUUUGCCCACGUAGAGAAGAAAGGCUUCCUUCAGCCCCAGCGAAACCCGUGGCAGUUGUGCCAUUGAUGAAGAACGCGUGCACGGCGAGAGGGGGGCAGAGGAUUCAGCCCUCACGACUGCGUGCGGUGAGUUCCUCAACGGGAAAGGAACUAGCCUCCUUCAUCCACAAAUAUAUUUGCCGGUAUCUCUCCUAGGGUAAUUUAUCAAAGCUGCAUGUUCAGACUUUUAACAGCAGGUGCCUGAAAUGUAAGAUCACGCUUUUGGUCCAGUUUUUCUGAGAAAACAAGCGCUUCCAUGUAGCAGUAAACACCCCACGCGUGUUGCUUGUUCAGGCAACACAGGCAGCUCGAGUCUCAGGAUGUGGACAUUGAAAAAAAAUAUCUUCCACACCUCACAUUUUGGCUGCUGAUAGUAUGUGGCUGUUCUUUUACAAUUUCCUUCCUGCACAGGCAGCAAUCACUAAUUUUAGACUAGCUUACAUGUAAGAGUAACAUUUCAGGCUUGGAAACAGUUUGCUGCUUCUCAAGAACAAACCUACCACAUCUUGCCAGGUAAAAUGCUACUCAGUCAAUUUAAGUGACGACUGGCAGAUCUCUUGGUUUAAGAGGAGACGAGAACAGCACCCAGCUGUUCUGGUUUGAAGGCAUCCAGGACUAAAUGACAAAAUCGAUCGAUUUGUGCAGCAGCCGUUAGAGAAGCACCUACGGUGCCUCGGAAGAUUCAAAAGAAAAGUUAUAAUCUCCAGGUUUAGCAGCUUUACUGCAAGAAGUGAUAAAGUGUGUAAUUUUAGAUACCUAAUACCAGACAGGUUAGCAUUUACAUUAGCUUUGUAAGUCUAAUGAAAACGUGUUGAGUCUUGCUCUUACGAUUGUACAGACUUCAAUUUGGUAAUGCACAGUCAGAUGAUCUUUUUUCCUUUUAUUGUGAUGAUGUUGCCAUCAGCCUUACAAGAUACAUCCCCUGCAUAUAUUUGCUGCGACGCGCGUAGCCAGCUGAGCUACCCAGACCCGUUAAUUGCGCAGACUGCCCCGUGAACAGAAGUCACACGUAGUGCUACAUAGUUCAGAGGCUCCUCGGUGCUACUGCUUGUGAACGGAGACUCAGACCUACGUGCAGGUGCGACGGGUAGCCCGUGAUCACGCAGAGCUGUCCGUACGCUGCUCUGCAGGGCACCCACGGGGGUUUUUAAGCACC
This is a long non-coding RNA of Anser brachyrhynchus (Pink-footed goose), 2048 nucleotides long. Lineage: Eukaryota; Metazoa; Chordata; Aves; Anseriformes; Anatidae. The record is from Ensembl.